GCCUGGCUGGCUCAGUUGGUAGAGUGUGUGACUCUUGUUCUCAGGGUUGUGAGUUCAAGCCCCAAGUUGGGUG
This is a non-coding RNA of Mustela putorius furo (domestic ferret), 73 nucleotides long. Lineage: Eukaryota; Metazoa; Chordata; Mammalia; Carnivora; Mustelidae. The record is from Rfam.